UGGGGAAUAUUGCACAAUGGAGGGAACUCUGAUGCAGCGACGCCGCGUGAACGAAGAAGGCUUUCGAGUCGUAAAGUUCUUUUAUAUGGGAAGAUAAUGACGGUACCAUAAGAAAAAGCCCCGGCUAAUUACGUGCCAGCAGCCGCGGUAAUACGUAAGGUCCGAGCGUUGUCCGGAAUCAUUGGGCGUAAAGGGUACGUAGGCGGGUAAGCAAGUUAGAAGUGAAAUCCUGUAGCUCAACUACAGUAAGCUUUUAAAACUGCUCAUCUUGAGAUAUGGAAGGGAAAGUGGAAUUCCUAGUGUAGCGGUGAAAUGCGCAGAUAUUAGGAGGAAUACCGGUGGCGAAGGCGACUUUCUGGCCAUAAUCUGACGCUGGGGUACGAAAGCGUGGGUAGCAAACAGG
This 403-nucleotide ribosomal RNA is filed under the name Bacteroidota bacterium. Its description in RNAcentral is "Bacteroidetes bacterium partial 16S ribosomal RNA". It matches the Rfam family "Bacterial small subunit ribosomal RNA", at positions 355 to 776 of the family's 1533-position model. Lineage: Bacteria; Pseudomonadati; Bacteroidota. The record is from RNAcentral.